Molecule: small nuclear RNA, 123 nt
Filed under: Myotis brandtii (Brandt's bat)
Lineage: Eukaryota; Metazoa; Chordata; Mammalia; Chiroptera; Vespertilionidae
Description: U2 spliceosomal RNA
Rfam family: U2 spliceosomal RNA
About the family: U2 is a small nuclear RNA (snRNA) component of the spliceosome (involved in pre-mRNA splicing). Complementary binding between U2 snRNA (in an area lying towards the 5' end but 3' to hairpin I) and the branchpoint sequence (BPS) of the intron results the bulging out of an unpaired adenosine, on the BPS, which initiates a nucleophilic attack at the intronic 5' splice site, thus starting the first of two transesterification reactions that mediate splicing.
Source: Rfam by way of RNAcentral
AUCGAUUCUCGGCCUUUUGGCUAAGAUCAAGUGUAGUAUCUGUUCUUAUCAGUUUAAAAAGAAUUUUCUUUCUAAUCUUUGUUUUCUAAGAGUUCUUAUCAUAAGUAGUUGUUGAAACUUAUC